RNAcentral lists this ribosomal RNA (253 nucleotides) under uncultured bacterium. Its description in RNAcentral is "partial 16S ribosomal RNA". It matches the Rfam family "Bacterial small subunit ribosomal RNA", at positions 524 to 776 of the family's 1533-position model. The record is from RNAcentral.
AACGUAGGAGACAAACGUUAUCCGGAGUUACUGGGCGUAAAGGGCGUGUAGGCGGUCUGUUAAGUCUGGCGUGAAAGCUCUCGGCUAAACCGGGAGAGGUCGUUGGAUACUGGCAGACUAGAGGACGGUAGAGGCGUGUGGAAUUCCUGGUGUAGCGGUGAAAUGCGCAGAUAUCAGGAGGAACACCGGUGGCGAAGGCGGUUCUCUGGGCCUUACCUGACGCUGAGGAGCGAAAGCGUGGGGAGCAAACAGG